GACGAACGCUGGCGGCGUGCUUAACACAUGCAAGUCGAACGGACAGGCCCUGCUCUUGUUUCUUUCUCGUUUGCCGCACAGGUGAGUAACACGUGUGUAUCAUGCCCUUGUCUUUGGGAUAACUUUUGGAAACUGGGUCUAUUACCCGAUAUGAUCUCCUGCUCCAUAUUGUGGAUUGGUAAAAUUCGGCGGUUGUGUCUCUACUCGCGGCGUAUCAGCUUGAUGAUGUGGUAGUGGCUUUCCAAGGCUUUGACGGGUAGCCGGCCUGAGCGGGUGACCGGCCACAUAGGGACUGAGAUACGGCAGAGACACCUAAGGGAGGGAGCAGUGGGGAAUAUUGCAGAAUGGGCGGAAGGCUGAUGAAGCAACGCCGCGGGCGGGAUGACGGCCUUAGGGGUGUAAACCGCUUUCGCCUGUGACGAAGCGUGAGUGAAGGGAAUGGGUAAAGAAGCACAGGCUAAAUAAGUG
This 468-nucleotide ribosomal RNA is filed under the name uncultured bacterium. Its description in RNAcentral is "partial 16S ribosomal RNA". It matches the Rfam family "Bacterial small subunit ribosomal RNA", at positions 28 to 507 of the family's 1533-position model. The record is from RNAcentral.